UUUGACGAUGGAUUACCAGUGAGCGGCGGACGGGUGAGUAACACGUGGGCAACCUGCCCUGGAGCGGGGGAUAACAUUUGGAAACAGAUGCUAAUACCGUAUAACAACAAAAACCGCAUGGUUUUUGUUUGAAAGGUGGCUUCGGCUAUCACUUCUGGAUGGUUCCGCGGCGCAUUAGCUAGUUGGUGAGGUAAAGGCUUACCAAGGCGAUGAUGCAUAGCCGAGUUGAGAGACUGAUCGGCCACAAUGGAACUGAGACACGGUCCAUACUCC
Molecule: ribosomal RNA, 273 nt
Filed under: uncultured Lactobacillus sp.
Lineage: Bacteria; Bacillati; Bacillota; Bacilli; Lactobacillales; Lactobacillaceae
Description: partial 16S ribosomal RNA
Rfam family: Bacterial small subunit ribosomal RNA
Source: RNAcentral